Molecule: long non-coding RNA, 359 nt
Filed under: Carica papaya (papaya)
Lineage: Eukaryota; Viridiplantae; Streptophyta; Magnoliopsida; Brassicales; Caricaceae
Description: long non-coding RNA (CPAP_LNC000429)
Source: RNAcentral
UUGAAUUGGUUGUUAUACAUAUCAAAUGUUUGAUGGGUUUUAGGAUAGUUUGGUUUUAAAUCAUUACUGUGUGUGUGUACAUGUGUUGAAAAUUAAUUAUCAAGUUUAAAAUGCAUUAAAAAAUGGAAGAAGAGAGGGAAAUGGGCACCAAAGUUGAUCAGCUGCAUAGGUACCACGCGUGCCAGACGAGCGAGGGAUAUCACCCAAGCACGCAUAUGUGUCGGGAUAAGGCCACCUGCAAGGUACACGCGUAGCAAUAACCUUAUAUGCGAGCUUCAUCAAGCGCACAGGUGCACUGAGGGAGCCCAUAGAUGUAAGGUGUUGGUCUAUACAGGGAUUGCCUUAAUAUGCCCUUAAUG